UUAAGUUCAGCGGGUAGCCCUACCUGAUUUGAGGUCAGAAGAUAAAGAGUAAGGGGUGGUUGUGAGCGGGCGUAGAGCCAGGGGUCCAACGAAACUUAUUACGUCGAGCCAGAGGCCUAUCCCACUAACGCCUUUAAGGUGAGCCGGUGAAGUCGGCAGACACCCAAGUCCAAGUCCAGCCCGGUAACAAAACCGUGAAG
RNAcentral lists this unclassified non-coding RNA (200 nucleotides) under Tremellales sp. Its description in RNAcentral is "partial internal transcribed spacer 2". The record is from RNAcentral. Lineage: Eukaryota; Fungi; Basidiomycota; Tremellomycetes; Tremellales.